GAUCCUGGCUCAGAUUGAACGCUGGCGGCAGGCUUAACACAUGCAAGUCGAACGGUAACAUAAAGAAGCUUGCUUCUUUGAUGACGAGUGGCGGACGGGUGAGUAAUGCUUGGGAAUCUAGCUUAUGGAGGGGGAUAACUACGGGGAAACUGUAGCUAAUACCGCGUAGAAUCGAGAGAUGAAAGUGUGGGACCUUCGGGCCACAUAGCCAUAGGAUGAGCCCGAAGUGGGAUUAGGUAGUUGGG
This 245-nucleotide ribosomal RNA is filed under the name uncultured bacterium. RNAcentral describes it as "partial 16S ribosomal RNA". It matches the Rfam family "Bacterial small subunit ribosomal RNA", at positions 15 to 253 of the family's 1533-position model. The record is from RNAcentral.